Molecule: ribosomal RNA, 243 nt
Filed under: uncultured Actinomycetales bacterium
Lineage: Bacteria; Bacillati; Actinomycetota; Actinomycetes; Actinomycetales
Description: partial 16S ribosomal RNA
Rfam family: Bacterial small subunit ribosomal RNA
Source: RNAcentral
UACUCGAGUGGCGAACGGGUGAGUAACACGUGGGUGAUCUGCCCUGCACUUCGGGAUAAGCUUGGGAAACUGGGUCUAAUGCCGGAUAGGAACCAUCUUUAGUGUGGUGGUUGGAAAGUUUUUUCGGUGUAGGAUGAGCUCGCGGCCUAUCAGCUUGUUGGUGGGGUAAUGGCCUACCAAGGCGGCGACGGGUAGCCGGCCUGAGAGGGUGUACGGCCACAUUGGGACUGAGAUACGGCCCAG